This 46-nucleotide ribosomal RNA is filed under the name Cladophialophora sp. 99003a. RNAcentral's name for it is "partial 28S ribosomal RNA". The record is from RNAcentral. Lineage: Eukaryota; Fungi; Ascomycota; Eurotiomycetes; Chaetothyriales; Herpotrichiellaceae.
UUGACCUCGGAUCAGGUAGGAAUACCCGCUGAACUUAAGCAUAAAA